This 236-nucleotide ribosomal RNA is filed under the name uncultured Staphylococcus sp. Its description in RNAcentral is "partial 16S ribosomal RNA". It matches the Rfam family "Bacterial small subunit ribosomal RNA", at positions 105 to 334 of the family's 1533-position model. The record is from RNAcentral. Lineage: Bacteria; Bacillati; Bacillota; Bacilli; Caryophanales; Staphylococcaceae.
UGGUGAGUAACACGUAGGUAACCUACCUAUAAGACUGGGAUAACUUCGGGAAACCGGAGCUAAUACCGGAUAAUAUUUCGAACCGCAUGGUUCGAUAGUGAAAGAUGGUUUUGCUAUCACUUAUAGAUGGACCCGCGGCGUAUUAGCUAGUUGGUAAGGUAACGGCUUACCAAGGCGACGAUACGUAGCCGACCUGAGAGGGUGAUCGGCCACACUGGAACUGAGACACGGUCCAG